Molecule: unclassified non-coding RNA, 889 nt
Filed under: Hevea brasiliensis (rubber tree)
Lineage: Eukaryota; Viridiplantae; Streptophyta; Magnoliopsida; Malpighiales; Euphorbiaceae
Source: RNAcentral
UUUUUAUUUUAUUUUAUUUUAUUGUAUUAAUCAUGUUUACAUGUACUGUUAUUUAUUAUGUUUGUGAUAAUUAUUUCUUAUGAAACAGAUUUUUCUUUCUUUCUUUAAUUUUUUUUUUUAAAUCUGAUGGAUGCAUCUUAUGAUGUUCUUCUAUUUUGAUCAGGAAGAAGACUGUACAUGUGAUAGAAUUUUGAGUAAAAGAGAAUUCCCAGAGAAUCUAAUGAUUGCCAGCAUUGAAAGGGCUGGUUUUGAACACUGCCUAAUCUUGAGAUGGCAUGAUUUCAAAUUUGCCAAGGCGAUUGAUGGCUAGGAAAAAUUUGCACUGACAAGGCAGUAACUCUCAGUACAAUGCUUCUGAUAUAUUGCCCCCUUGUGAUCUUUGGUAUAUGAGCAGAGAUGGAUAUCAUCGUGCAAUCUGCUGAGUAUAAAUGCUGGGUAAUUGUCUUUGUCCAUACUUGAUGUGGAAUCAGAUGGCUCUGUUUGGUCAGUUCAAAAUUAAGGGAUUUUGUGGAGAUAGAAUGGGUGUAAAAAUUGAAAGGCUUUGCAUGAAGCAUUCCUUAUAUGCAGGGAUUGUCUCCAACUGAACUCUUAUAUGCCCAAUGUGAUUAAAUCAAAGAUAAAGAAUUGCUCCCUUGGUGGACAGGAAAGCCUGGCUAUCCUCUCUGCGCCAGUAAAUUGAAAACAAUUAGCUUGAUAAUGAAAAGUAGUAUUACUAUUUGAUUUAAAUGUUUAGCUUUAGACUUUGUUUCUUCCCAGUUCCCAUAGCUUCUAUCCUUGUCUAAUGGAUCACUGGGAAUUAUUGCUUCUGCUGCUGCUUUUAACAGCUUUAUCAUCCUUCAGAGGACCUUUAAAGUUCAAAUCAUUGGUGCAAAGACUUGCAUAAUUUCUC